GCACUCGUAGCUCAGCUGGAUAGAGUAUUGCCCUCCGAAGGCAAGGGUCGUGGGUUCGAAUCCCGCCGAGUGCGCCA
This 77-nucleotide transfer RNA is filed under the name Pseudomonas sp. RNAcentral's name for it is "tRNA-Arg". It matches the Rfam family "tRNA". Rfam says of the family: Transfer RNA (tRNA) molecules are approximately 80 nucleotides in length. Their secondary structure includes four short double-helical elements and three loops (D, anti-codon, and T loops). Further hydrogen bonds mediate the characteristic L-shaped molecular structure. tRNAs have two regions of fundamental functional importance: the anti-codon, which is responsible for specific mRNA codon recognition, and the 3' end, to which the tRNAs corresponding amino acid is attached (by aminoacyl-tRNA synthetases). tRNAs cope with the degeneracy of the genetic code in two manners: having more than one tRNA (with a specific anti-codon) for a particular amino acid; and 'wobble' base-pairing, i.e. permitting non-standard base-pairing at the 3rd anti-codon position. Lineage: Bacteria; Pseudomonadati; Pseudomonadota; Gammaproteobacteria; Pseudomonadales; Pseudomonadaceae. RNAcentral also lists the same sequence under 7 other names. The record is from RNAcentral.